GACUAGGUGGCGCAAUGGUAGCGCGACUAUUCCACAUCAGAAGGUUGCGUGUUCGGAUCACGUCCCGGUCA
Non-coding RNA from Trichonephila clavipes, 71 nucleotides. The record is from the annotation of a GenBank genome assembly. NCBI's taxonomy places the organism in Eukaryota, Metazoa, Arthropoda, Arachnida, Araneae, Nephilidae.